UUUCACCGAGCGACACAACCUGACCAACGCCUUGGCGGCGGUGGCGAUCGGCGUUGCCCUGGAUGCGCAGCUGGACGACAUGGCCGACCGCGCUGCGAACAUAGGCUUCUCCCGCUUCCGGGGCGAGCGCCUCGAGCUGGGCGAUGGGAUCGUCCUUGUGAACGACUGCUACAACGCCAACCCGGUGUCGAUGCGAGCGGCGCUCGACCAUCUGGGCUCCUUCGAUCGGGGCCGUCGCAUUGCCGUGCUGGGAGAGAUGGCGGAGCUUGGCCCAGGUGCGG
RNAcentral lists this unclassified non-coding RNA (281 nucleotides) under uncultured bacterium. RNAcentral's name for it is "contains 16S-23S intergenic spacer region". The record is from RNAcentral.